UACGUAGGGUGCGAGCGUUAAUCGGAAUUACUGGGCGUAAAGCGUGCGCAGGCGGUUCGUUGUGUCGGCGGUGAAAGCCCCGGGCUCAACCUGGGAAUGGCCGUUGAAACUGGCGAACUGGAGUGUGGCAGAGGGGGGUGGAAUUCCGCGUGUAGCAGUGAAAUGCGUAGAGAUGUGGAGGAACACCGAUGGCGAAGGCAGCCCC
Molecule: ribosomal RNA, 205 nt
Filed under: uncultured bacterium
Lineage: Bacteria
Description: partial 16S ribosomal RNA
Rfam family: Bacterial small subunit ribosomal RNA
Source: RNAcentral